CCUUUUAUAUCGCUGAGACAGAAUGAAUUUCUGUGCGGGGGAACCAAUUCGAUCGCAACUUGAUCUCGGGGUGAAUCUUCAUUUUUGAAGAAGGGGUACUCUCCAUCCCUAAUCCGACAGCUAACCUCGUAAGCGUAGAAAAGAGAGAAA
RNAcentral lists this small RNA (150 nucleotides) under Planococcus rifietoensis. Its description in RNAcentral is "c-di-AMP sequence". It matches the Rfam family "c-di-AMP riboswitch aptamer (ydaO/yuaA leader)". Rfam says of the family: This family represents a conserved RNA structure found upstream of the ydaO and yuaA genes in Bacillus subtilis and related genes in other bacteria. The ydaO/yuaA element is thought to act as a genetic "off" switch for the ydaO and yuaA genes in its native state. It is believed that the element may be triggered during osmotic shock leading to activation of ydaO, a predicted amino acid transporter gene, and members of the yuaA-yubG operon which code for KtrA and KtrB K+ transporters. Lineage: Bacteria; Bacillati; Bacillota; Bacilli; Caryophanales; Caryophanaceae. The record is from Rfam by way of RNAcentral.